This 460-nucleotide ribosomal RNA is filed under the name uncultured bacterium. RNAcentral describes it as "partial 16S ribosomal RNA". It matches the Rfam family "Bacterial small subunit ribosomal RNA", at positions 338 to 795 of the family's 1533-position model. The record is from RNAcentral.
CCUACGGGAGGCAGCAGUGAGGAAUAUUGGUCAAUGGACGAGAGCCUGAACCAGCCAAGUCGCGUGAAGGAUGACGGCCCUACGGGUUGUAAACUUCUUUUGUCAGGGAGCAAUUGGGUCCACGCGUGUGCUUCUCGAGAGUACCUGCAGAAAAAGCAUCGGCUAACUCCGUGCCAGCAGCCGCGGUAAUACGGAGGAUGCGAGCGUUAUCCGGAUUUAUUGGGUUUAAAGGGUGCGUAGGCGGAAUAUCAAGUCAGCGGUAAAAAUUCGGGGCUCAACCCCGUCGUGCCGUUGAAACUGAUGGGCUUGAGUGGGCGAGAAGUAUGCGGAAUGCGUGGUGUAGCGGUGAAAUGCAUAGAUAUCACGCAGAACUCCGAUUGCGAAGGCAGCAUACCGGCGCCCAACUGACGCUGAAGCACGAAAGCGUGGGUAUCGAACAGGAUUAGAUACCCGGGUAGUC